RNAcentral lists this ribosomal RNA (244 nucleotides) under uncultured bacterium. Its description in RNAcentral is "partial 16S ribosomal RNA". It matches the Rfam family "Bacterial small subunit ribosomal RNA", at positions 15 to 244 of the family's 1533-position model. The record is from RNAcentral.
GAUCCUGGCUCAGGAUGAACGCUAGCGACAGGCCUAACACAUGCAAGUCGAGGGGGCAGCGGAGGAGGUAGCAAUUACCUUUGCCGGCGACCGGCGCACGGGUGAGUAACACGUAUGCAAUCCACCUGUAACAGGGGGAUAACCCGGGAGAAAUCCGGACUAAUACCCCAUAAUAUGGGCGCUCCGCAUGGAGAGCCCAUUAAAGAGAGCAAUUUUGGUUACAGACGAGCAUGCGCUCCAUUAG